RNAcentral lists this ribosomal RNA (83 nucleotides) under Gardnerella vaginalis. RNAcentral's name for it is "partial 23S ribosomal RNA". It matches the Rfam family "Bacterial large subunit ribosomal RNA", at positions 2835 to 2912 of the family's 2925-position model. Lineage: Bacteria; Bacillati; Actinomycetota; Actinomycetes; Bifidobacteriales; Bifidobacteriaceae. The record is from RNAcentral.
CCCAUGUAGAACACGUGGUUGAUAGGCUGGAUGUGGAAGCCCUGUAAGGGGUGGAGCUGACCAGUACUAAUGGGCGAUUGUGA